Molecule: long non-coding RNA, 85 nt
Organism: Haliotis rubra (blacklip abalone)
Lineage: Eukaryota; Metazoa; Mollusca; Gastropoda; Lepetellida; Haliotidae
Exons: 3
Source: RefSeq, a predicted model, not a curated record
AUGGAUGAGCUGCUGGACAAAGAAUGCAAACAAAAAGUGGUCCAAAACCUCAAAUGCAGUUUUGUGCAAAACACUAAUUUUUGGG